GCGGAGGGAGCGGCGGGAUGGACCGCAGGUGAGGCCGAUCGCUCUUCCAGGGACUACAGGAGGCUGGGGAGGACCAAGGGCGAGAGCAGCACAGCCUAGGGACGGGCUGGAUAGGGUCUGGAGUCGCUAGAGCUCCACUGCAUUGGAACUACAAUUCCCAACAUGCUCCACAGCCGUUGGCCGCUCCAGCCGUAGCCUUUAGCAUCCCGGGGGGUCCCCUAAGAGUCUUAUGUUCCUCUCUGAGUGGCCCCCAAGGAAUUAUUUCCUCUAAAGGUGUCCAAGAAAGGCUUGAGAUCUGAAUUUCUUCAUUUUGAAAUGGCCCCCAGACACGCCUGGGCGUUGUCUUUGAACUUUGUCACGGAGGCGGAGCCCAGUGGAUCCUGGGGCUUGUAGUCCAUCUACCCUUUGCCUUCAUGUCCCCAAGAAUGUAUGGGAAAUGCUCGGUGAUAUAAUCCAGCCGCGGUUCUUUUUUUUUUUUUUUUUCUUUAAGACAGAGUCUCUCGCUCUGUUGGCCCAGACUGGAGUGCAGUGGCACAAUCUUGGCUACUGCAACCUCUGCCCCCUGGGUUAAAGCAAUUCUCAUGCCUCAGCCUCCCAAGUAGCUGGGACUACAAGCACCUGCCACCGCGCCUGGCUAAUUUUUUAUAUUUUUAGUAGAGACGGGGUUUCGCCAUGUUGGUAAGGCUGGUUUCGAACUCCUGACCUCAAGUGAUCCACCCGACUUGGUGUAAUCCCAAAGUGCUGGGAUUAUAAUAGAUAUUCUGAUUCUGUUGGUCUGGAAUGGGAACCGCGCGCCUGGAACGUUGAAAAGCCCCUCCUAGACUGGAUCCAGGGUUGAGAACCACCGGCUGUCAGUUCCUGAGUUGCUCCCUGUUAAGACUGCACCAGGGGCGGGCUCCCAGGACUCACCCUUCCACUGUCGCUAUCAUGAAUGUGCAGCGGUGCUUCAUGAAAAUGACAGUCCCUCUCCUCCAGGAAUCUAUGGGAAUUGUCUGGUUCUGGCCUCCUCUAAUGUCCCCCUCCCCAGGGCUGCGGCGAAACCACGUGCUGCCUGAACCCCACUUUCCUCUUGCAGCCUGCCAGUUUUCUCCAUUCAAGAUAGUCCCUUUGGAGAUGCGCCCCUGGGUCGAAGCCACUACUGGCCAUCCCGGAGCCAGACCUGGUGUCCCAAGGUGAGGACACCCCUCAAAGAGUGCUGAGUGCCAGCCCAGUAGCAAGAGAAUGACCUUUAGAGGGUAGGAAGACAUGUGAUGAGAGAUAGGGAUGAGAGAUUUAAUAGACAGCCCCUUCUCCCCUCCCCACAGCCCUGCCCUUGUCCCCCUCUCUACCACCUGGAUUCCCCAUCUGAGCCCCCAUCACACUAGGUUGUUAUCAUUACAGGAUGUGUUUCCUCCCCUCUGGACUGAGACUUUGUGUGUGUCUUGGUUCCCCUGCAGGGAUGACCCAUCAGAUCUCACACUUUUUCUUUUUGUGCUCUUCCCUGAUCUUAGACCCUGAACCCAUCCAGGUCUCAGAGAUCCAGGCUCCCACAAGCUCCCAAGCCUCUAGCCACAGGUCCCAACUCCCCUGAGCUGUUUGAGGAGUCCUGGCCAUCCAGUUCAGGGACCCCUUCCCCACCCAGCACCACUGAGGGACAGAUGGGGGCCUCCCCAGCACCCACCCUGAUUGACAGAGGGGACUCCGUGGUGGCCAAGUAUAUAAACAGGUUCCGCCAGGCUCAGCCCACCAGUCGAGAGGAGCGCCAGCCUGCAGGCCCAACCCCAGCUGACUUUUGGUGGCUGCGGUCUGACUCUCCAGACCCCAGCAGUCAAAGUGCAGCAGCAGGAGCCAACAAACCAGAAGGAAGACCCCAUACAGCUGUCCCUACUGCGGUCAACGUGACCAGUGCAUCCCACGCUGUGGCUCCCCUUCAGGAAAUAAAGCAGGUGACAUCCCCAUUCACUCCCUCCCUUGGGUGCCUGAACUGACAACACCAGCCCUAGGAUAGAACUAGAAGAUCAGGAGCAGUGGCUCACACCUGUAAUCCCAGCACUUUGGGAGGCCAAGGUGAAAGGACUGCUUGAGGCCAGGAGUUCAAGACCAGCUUAGGUGACAUGGUGAGAUUCUGCCUCUACUAAAAAAAAAAAAAAAAAAAAAAAAAAAAAAAGAGAGAGCCAGGUGUGAAUGUACCUGUAAUCCCAGCUACUUGAGAGCCUGAGGCUGGAGGAUGGCUUGAGCCUAGGAGUUCAAGGCUGCUGUGAGCUAUGAUCGUACCACUGCACUCCAGCCUGGGCAAUAGAGCAAGACCCUGUCUCUAUUUAAAAAAAAAAAAAAAGGCUGGGCACCAUGGCUCACGCCUAUAAUCCCAGCACUUUGGGAGGCUGAGGCAGGCAGAUCACGAGGUCAGAAGUUCAGGACCAGCCUGACCAACAUGGUGAAACCCCGUCUCUACUAAAAAUACAAAAAUUAGCCGGGUGUGGUGGUACACACCUGUAAUCCCAGCUACUCAGGAGCCUGAGGCAGGAGAAUCGCUUGAACCCGGGAGGCGGAGGUUGCAGUGAGCCGAGAUAGCGCCAGCGCACUCCAGCCUGGCAACAGCAAGACUCCAUCUC
This 2591-nucleotide small RNA is filed under the name Pongo abelii (Sumatran orangutan). RNAcentral describes it as "retained intron". The record is from RNAcentral. Lineage: Eukaryota; Metazoa; Chordata; Mammalia; Primates; Hominidae.